UACGUAGGGUGCGAGCGUUAAUCGGAAUUACUGGGCGUAAAGCGUGCGCAGGCGGCUUUGCAAGACAGAUGUGAAAUCCCGCAGCUCAACUGCGGAACUGCCUUUGAUACUGGGUAUCUUGAGUAUGGAAGAGGUGAGUGGAAUUCCGAGUGUAGAGGUGAAAUUCGUAGAUAUGCGGAGGAACACCAAUGGCGAAGGCAAUCCCCUGGGCCUGUACUGACGCUCAUGCACGAAAGCGUGGGGAGCAAACAGG
This 253-nucleotide ribosomal RNA is filed under the name uncultured bacterium. RNAcentral's name for it is "partial 16S ribosomal RNA". It matches the Rfam family "Bacterial small subunit ribosomal RNA", at positions 524 to 776 of the family's 1533-position model. The record is from RNAcentral.